AUUGAACGCUGGCGGCAUGCCUUACACAUGCAAGUCGAACGGCAGCACGGGUGCUUGCACCUGGUGGCGAGUGGCGAACGGGUGAGUAAUACAUCGGAACGUACCUUAUCGUGGGGGAUAACGCAGCGAAAGUUGCGCUAAUACCGCAUACGCCCUGAGGGGGAAAGCGGGGGACCGUAAGGCCUCGCGCGAUUAGAGCGGCCGAUGUCUGAUUAGCUUGUUGGUGAGGUAAAAGCUCACCAAGGCGAUGAUCAGUAGCUGGUCUGAGAGGACGAUCAGCCACACGGGGACUGGGACACGGCCCAGACUCCUACGGGAGGCAGCAGUGGGGAAUUUUGGACAAUGGGGGCAACCCUGAUCCAGCAAUGCCGCGUGAGUGAAGAAGGCCUUCGGGUUGUAAAGCUCUUUUGUCAGGGAAGAAACAGCAGCUCUAACACAGUCUGCGAAUGACGGUACCUGAAGAAUAAGCACCGGCUAACUACGUGCCAGCAGCCGCGGUAA
This 501-nucleotide ribosomal RNA is filed under the name uncultured bacterium. Its description in RNAcentral is "partial 16S ribosomal RNA". It matches the Rfam family "Bacterial small subunit ribosomal RNA", at positions 30 to 523 of the family's 1533-position model. The record is from RNAcentral.